Molecule: ribosomal RNA, 345 nt
Filed under: uncultured soil bacterium
Lineage: Bacteria
Description: bacterial SSU rRNA
Rfam family: Bacterial small subunit ribosomal RNA
Source: RNAcentral
AGCCUGAACGCUGGCGGCGUGGUUAAGACAUGCAAGUCGCACGGAGCCGUAGCAAUACGGUUCAGUGGCGCACGGGUGAGUAAUGAAUCGCUAACGCGCCCCGGACUCUGGGAUAGCCGCCCGAAAGGACGGGUAAUACCAGAUGAGACCCCGAUCCCGCAUGGGAUUGUGCUCAAAGGUCCGCCGGUCUGGGAGCGGGGCGAGUUCGUAAGCGACGACUAAGGUUGGUAGGGUAACGGCCUACCAAGGCGACGACGCGUAGCCGGACUGAGAGGUCGGUCGGCACAUCGGGACUGAGACACUGCCCGGACUCCACGGGGGGCUGGCAGUAACGAAUCUUCGCAA